GGUUGAACUCAGGACCUUGCACUGGAGAGGCCCUUCCACAGCCCCGCCCUUUUCCAUUCUCUGUGUGGAGGAGCAGAGGACACACGGCACCGCCCUCAAGGGAGGCCCCUGUGUCUCAGCAGUGACCCUCCAGGAAGAGAGCCAAUCUCUUGCAACUUCUGGCCUAAGUGACUGCUGCUAGGAAUGUCCAAAGGUGGAGGACACCCAGAUCUGCUCAGACUGUCCCCACGAGCACAAGAGGCAGAGGAUCAGGUCAGGGAGAGUUUAUUGAUCCUGAGAGGUGCUGACAGGCUGAGGCCCAGGGCGCUGACGGAGCAGAGGACCCUGGAGGAGAGCUGUCCGGGUGGCUCGAAUGCUGUCCUUCCUCAUUCCGUUUCCUUCUCUGUUGGUCCGAAGUCAGCAGCCUCCUCCGCGCCUGCUGCCUCUCUCUCUCACCGAUUUGUGUGCCUAUUCUUUGCCAACGCUAAGUUGCCUCCUUCCUGUGGAUUCCUAGGAGACCUUGAAGUCAGGACGUGGAGACCUCAGCUCUGACUCUUCGACAAGUCGUGUCUGGUUCGUCUUCCUGGGAAGGACAUUUGGAGCCAGCGCGUUGAUGCCGAAGGACUCUGCGGGGCUGUACCUGGGGCGCCCGGGAGCUCAGCGUGGCUGGCCGGACGCGAGGCCCGAGUGCAACCCACAGGGCGGUGCGGCUGCGCUGGCUGUGGUCCCGUUUGGUUUCUCCCAUCGUGUUUGCCUGAGCUACGCGUUCCGCUCCAUAUGUGGUUAAGCUGACGCUUUUAUUCUAGUGUAGAUCGUCCUUUACCCAGCACAGU
RNAcentral lists this long non-coding RNA (812 nucleotides) under Fukomys damarensis (Damara mole-rat). RNAcentral describes it as "lncRNA (ENSFDAG00000022175.1)". Lineage: Eukaryota; Metazoa; Chordata; Mammalia; Rodentia; Bathyergidae. The record is from RNAcentral.